CCCUGGGUGGUGCAAACAGUUUAUACGUUUGGCUGCUAACCAAAAGAUUGGAGGUUCAAGUCCACCCAGAGGCA
Transfer RNA from Loxodonta africana (African savanna elephant), 74 nucleotides. It matches the Rfam family "tRNA". From Rfam's summary of the family: Transfer RNA (tRNA) molecules are approximately 80 nucleotides in length. Their secondary structure includes four short double-helical elements and three loops (D, anti-codon, and T loops). The record is from Rfam. NCBI's taxonomy places the organism in Eukaryota, Metazoa, Chordata, Mammalia, Proboscidea, Elephantidae.